AUGGAGUACCUAGAGCAUGUCAGUUUUUUGGUUCUGUUAGACGAUGUGCAAGAUGAAGUCUACCCAGAUUUGACAGCUGUUGGUUUGACGAUGGCUCUUGGGCAUCGGCAAAAGGUUAUUCUUACGUCGAGGAGUCAGGUAGUAUGUGCUCGCAUGGGAUGCACCAUAUCAAACACUCUUGAGAUGAAGUGUCUCGGGGAUGAAGAUGCUUGGAGUCUUUUCGAGUAUAAUGCGGGAGUAAAAAUCACAGAAGCUGAUAAUGAAAUUUGUGAAUAUGCAAAACAGAUGGUUUCAGCAUGUGGAGGGUUGCCUAGAGCCAUAUGUGCUAUUGGCAUAGGCGUAGCCGGAGCCACUUGCAGGGGAAAACAUCCAGAUGAUUGGUGGUUUACCUACAAGCGUUUCAAGGGUAAAAAGUAA
Molecule: ribosomal RNA, 417 nt
Filed under: Triticum aestivum (bread wheat)
Lineage: Eukaryota; Viridiplantae; Streptophyta; Magnoliopsida; Poales; Poaceae
Description: partial small subunit ribosomal RNA
Source: RNAcentral